RNAcentral lists this ribosomal RNA (492 nucleotides) under uncultured bacterium. RNAcentral's name for it is "partial 16S ribosomal RNA". It matches the Rfam family "Bacterial small subunit ribosomal RNA", at positions 29 to 507 of the family's 1533-position model. The record is from RNAcentral.
AGUGAGCGCUGGCGGUAGGCCUAACACAUGCAAGUCGAACGGCAGCACAGUAAGAGCUUGCUCUUACGGGUGGCGAGUGGCGGACGGGUGAGGUAUACAUCGGAAUCUACUUUUUCGUGGGGGAUAACGUAGGGAAACUUACGCUAAUACCGCAUACGACCUACGGGUGAAAGCAGGGGAUCUUCGGACCUUGCGCGAUUGAAUGAGCCGAUGUCGGAUUAGCUAGUUGGCGGGGUAAAGGCCCACCAAGGCGACGAUCCGUAGCUGGUCUGAGAGGAUGACCAGCCACACUGGAACUGAGACACGGUCCAGACUCCUACGGGAGGCAGCAGUGGGGAAUACUGGACAAUGGGCGCAAGCCUGAUCCAGCCAUACCGCGUGUGUGAAGAAGGCCUUCGGGUUGUAAAGCCCUUUUGUUGGGAAAGAAAAGCAGCAGGUUAAUACCCCGCUGUUCUGACGGUACCCAAAGAAUAAGCACCGGCUAACUUCGUG